Molecule: ribosomal RNA, 253 nt
Filed under: uncultured bacterium
Lineage: Bacteria
Description: partial 16S ribosomal RNA
Rfam family: Bacterial small subunit ribosomal RNA
Source: RNAcentral
UACAGAGGGUGCAAACGUUGCUCGGAAUUAUUGGGCGUAAAGCGCGUGCAGGCGGCUCGCUAAGUUGACUGUGAAAGCCCUUGGCUCAACCAAGGAAGUGCAGUCAAAACUGGCGAGCUAGAGUCCCGAAGAGUGUGGCGGAAUGCCCAGUGUAGAGGUGAAAUUCGUAGAUAUUGGGUAGAACACCAGUGGCGAAGGCGGCCACCUGGGAGGGUACUGACGCUGAGACGCGAAAGCGUGGGGAGCAAACAGG